This 596-nucleotide long non-coding RNA is filed under the name Gallus gallus (chicken). Lineage: Eukaryota; Metazoa; Chordata; Aves; Galliformes; Phasianidae. The record is from RNAcentral.
CUGAUAAAAGUCAACAAGAUUCCAACGCAGCAGUACGUUAAGUUCAUGGCUUUCUUCGCUUGGGCAUAGCGUGAUGCUGAUAUCCAGGUCCAAGGGCAGAUCCUGCCCUCAUUUCCACUGCCACAGAACAUCUGGUUUCCACAUCAGUCCAUUCAGAGUCUGCAGCAUCCUCCGGUGGAUCAGCAUUGGAAGGUGAUGAUCUUCUCUUUCGACCAGUUGGAGAUUCUUGCUUUAGGGUCUCUAUCUCUGUGAACUGCACAGCCUGUCCACCACCUCUGGUUUUGAAAACAUCACCCUUAAUUAGUUUUGUUUCAAUCUCCCCAUCAGAGGCUAGCUCCUGGUGCGUCAGCAUGUACUUGUCACACUUAGCUAGUGCCUUUUCACUUGCAGCUGCUACUGUGAUGGCAUGAGGGACAUGUGGCUGCAUGACUGUGUCAGUGGGCAGAUUAGAAGGUGGCUUAUGAUCUACCCAUCUCUCCCCAGCUGAGCGCGACCGUCUGUGCCUGAGACGAACUGGAGGUGCAUUCCUGCAGCAUUGAUCCUCUUCUAUUUCUAGCUCAUCUCUACUCUUGGGAACCUCAGUGAUUCCAGUCCAG